AUCCUGCUUUGGCCAAAGACUUUCGAGUCAACGACCUAUGAGAUCACAUAGGAUGUUUGCUCUCCUUAUUAGGAGUGACUGAUUUCUUAUUAAUCAGUCACAACCUUCAUGCACUCUUCACCAUAUCCAGAACACCCCAUACAAAGAUCAGAGAGCCAAGUUAGGUAGUGAACCAAAAUAUGAAUCCAAGUACAUAAGGUACCAUGGUGACCUCAAGUCUAAGGAUCACUUACACAACUCCCACUAGAGAAUCAUCAGUUGAUAUGUAAAUAAUACUUCAUCUGAUAUUCUGUCGUAGGUCAAUUUAGUGAACUCAUUCU
Molecule: long non-coding RNA, 320 nt
Filed under: Elaeis guineensis (African oil palm)
Lineage: Eukaryota; Viridiplantae; Streptophyta; Magnoliopsida; Arecales; Arecaceae
Description: long non-coding RNA (EGUI_LNC065506)
Source: RNAcentral